Molecule: ribosomal RNA, 245 nt
Filed under: uncultured bacterium
Lineage: Bacteria
Description: partial 16S ribosomal RNA
Rfam family: Bacterial small subunit ribosomal RNA
Source: RNAcentral
UACGGAGGUGGCUAGCGUUACUCGGAUUUACUGGGUGUAAAGGGUAUGUAGGUGGGCUUGUAAGUCAGACGUGAAAGCCCUUGGCUCAACCAAGGAAUUGCGUUUGAAACUGCUUGCCUUGAGUGCGGGAGAGGAAAGCGGAAUUCCCGGUGUAAGGGUGAAAUCUGUAGAGAUCGGGAGGAACACCUGUGGCGAAAGCGGCUUUCUGGUCCGUUACUGACACUGAAAUACGAAAGCUUGGGGAG